UCGUAAAAUUUUUUAAUAUUCAUGAUGUCGUAUGGGAAAAUAAUGAUAAUACCUUACUAUGAGUGUCGUCCAAAUCUGGUGCCAGAAGACUCGGUAAGACCAGAGACGCAAACGUUAAUCAUCAUAAACAGGCGUAAAGGGUUUGUAGGCAGCUUUUAUAGGAUUAUUAUAAAAAGGUAAUUUAAAUUAAAAGCUAGAAUCAAAAAGAGGUUAUAGUGUAUAACGCCUAGAGGAGGGCUGAUAUCCGUAGAUCCUAGGCAGAAUACUCAGGGCGAAGGCCACUCUCCACUAAUGAUUGACGCUGAGAAACGAAGGUUAGGGUAGGAAAUAGGAUUAGAUACCCCGGUACUCCUUUCUGUAAACGAUGAAUGGUAGUCAUUAGUAAAAAUAACUAGAGGCGAAGUUAACACAAUAACCAUUCCGCCUUGUGAGUACUACUGCAAAGUAGAAAACAAAAAAAUUAGUCGGUCUCGAAGCAAACGGAGUGAAGCAUGUUAUUUA
This 501-nucleotide ribosomal RNA is filed under the name Ganoderma bubalinomarginatum. RNAcentral describes it as "SSU rRNA". It matches the Rfam family "Bacterial small subunit ribosomal RNA", at positions 423 to 948 of the family's 1533-position model. Lineage: Eukaryota; Fungi; Basidiomycota; Agaricomycetes; Polyporales; Polyporaceae. The record is from RNAcentral.